GCUUGUCUCAAAGAUUAAGCCAUGCAUGUCUAAGUAUAAACAAAUCUAUACGUGAAACUGCGAAUGGCUCAUUAUAUCAGUUAUAGUUUAUUUGAUGGUCCUUACUACUUGGAUAACCGUAGUAAUUCUAGAGCUAAUACAUGACUCAAAGACCGACUUACGAAGGUCUGUGUUUAUUAGAUGGAAACCAAAGCGGGGAAACCCGGAUUUAUGGUGAUUCAUAAUAACCCUCCGAUCGGCUAUGCCGACGCAUCAUUCAAGUUUCUGCCCUAUCAGCUUUGGACGGUAGGGUAUUGGCCUACCGUGGCUUUAACGGGUAACGGAGAAUUAGGGUUCGAUUCCGGAGAGGGAGCCUGAGAAACGGCUACCACAUCUAAGGAAGGCAGCAG
Molecule: ribosomal RNA, 389 nt
Filed under: uncultured Chrysophyceae
Lineage: Eukaryota; Chrysophyceae
Description: partial small subunit ribosomal RNA
Rfam family: Eukaryotic small subunit ribosomal RNA
Source: RNAcentral